Molecule: ribosomal RNA, 473 nt
Filed under: uncultured bacterium
Lineage: Bacteria
Description: bacterial SSU rRNA
Rfam family: Bacterial small subunit ribosomal RNA
Source: RNAcentral
CGCUAUCAUCCUACGGGAGGCAGCAGUGGGGAAUAUUGCACAAUGGGCGCAAGCCUGAUGCAGCCAUGCCGCGUGUGUGAAGAAGGCCUUCGGGUUGUAAAGCACUUUCAGUCGUGAGGAAGGUAGUGUAGUUAAUAGCUGCAUUAUUUGACGUUUAGCGACAGAAGAAGCACCGGCUAACUCCGUGCCAGCAGCCGCGGUAAUACGGAGGGUGCGAGCGUUAAUCGGAAUUACUGGGCGUAAAGCGCAUGCAGGUGGUUUGUUAAGUCAGAUGUGAAAGCCCGGGGCUCAACCUCGGAAUAGCAUUUGAAACUGGCAGACUAGAGUACUGUAGAGGGGGUAGAAUUUCAGGUGUAGCGGUGAAAAUGCGUAGAGAUCUGAAGGAAUACCGGUGGCGAAGGCGGCCCCCUGGACAGAUACUGACACUCAGAUGCGAAAGCGUGGGGAGCAAACAGGAUUAGAUACCCUGGUAG